Molecule: ribosomal RNA, 200 nt
Filed under: uncultured bacterium
Lineage: Bacteria
Description: partial 16S ribosomal RNA
Rfam family: Bacterial small subunit ribosomal RNA
Source: RNAcentral
AGAGUUUGAUCAUGGCUCAGGAUCAAGCUGGCGGCGUGCCUAACACAUGCAAGUCGAACGCUCUGCGCAAGCAGGGAGUGGCGGACGGGUGAGGAACACGUGGGUAUCUGCCCUGAGGUGAGGAAUACCGGCGAGAAAUCGCCGACAAAACCGCAUAGCCUCUCUCUCAAGAGGGAGAGGAAAGUCGCAAGACGCCUGAG